AGAGUUUGAUCCUGGCUCAGAUUGAACGCUGGCGGUAUGCUUAACACAUGCAAGUCGAACGGAAACGAAACUAGCUUGCUAGUAGGCGUCGAGUGGCGGACGGGUGAGUAACGCGUAGGAAUCUGCCUGAUAGUGGGGGAUAGCCCGAAGAAAUUCGGAUUAAUACCGCAUAAUCUAUUCGUAGUAAAGUGGGGGACUUUCGAGCCUCACGCUAUCAGAUGAGCCUGCGUAAGAUUAGCUUGUUGGUAGGGUAAAAGCCUACCAAGGCAACGAUCUUUAGCUGGUCUGAGAGGAUGAUCAGCCACAUCGGGACUGAGACACGGCCCGAACUCCUACGGGAGGCAGCAGUGGGGAAUAUUGGACAAUGGGGGCAACCCUGAUCCAGCAAUACCGCGUGUGUGAAGAAGGCCUGAGGGUUGUAAAGCACUUUCAAUUGUGAAGAAAAGUUAACGGUUAAUAACCGUUGACCUUGACGUUAACUUUAGAAGAAGCACCGGCUAACUCCGUGCCAGCAGCCGCGGUAAUACGGAGGGUGCAAGCGUUAAUCGGAAUUACUGGGCGUAAAGCGUGCGUAGGCGGUUUAUUAAGUCAGAUGUGAAAGCCCCGGGCUUAACCUGGGAACUGCAUUUGAAACUGGUCAACUAGAGUAUGGUAGCGGAAAGUGGAAUUUCUGGUGUAGCGGUGAAAUGCGUAGAUAUCAGAAGGAACAUCAAUGGCGAAGGCAGCUUUCUGGACCAAUACUGACGCUGAGGUACGAAAGCGUGGGUAGCAAACAGGAUUAGAUACCCUGGUAGUC
This 796-nucleotide ribosomal RNA is filed under the name uncultured Gammaproteobacteria bacterium. Its description in RNAcentral is "bacterial SSU rRNA". It matches the Rfam family "Bacterial small subunit ribosomal RNA", at positions 8 to 795 of the family's 1533-position model. Lineage: Bacteria; Pseudomonadati; Pseudomonadota; Gammaproteobacteria. The record is from RNAcentral.